UACCAGCACCCCGAGUGGUCGGGACGAUUAUUGGGCCUAAAGCGUCCGUAGCCGGUUUUACAAGUCCUCCGUUAAAUCCAACUGCUUAACAGAUGGGCCGCGGAGGAUACUAUAAGACUAGGAGGCAGGAGAGGCAAGCGGUACUCAGUGGGUAGGGGUAAAAUCCGUUGAUCCAUUGAAGACCACCAGUGGCGAAGGCGGCUUGCCAGAAUGCGCUCGACGGUGAGGGAUGAAAGCUGGGGGAGCAAACCGG
Molecule: ribosomal RNA, 253 nt
Filed under: uncultured bacterium
Lineage: Bacteria
Description: partial 16S ribosomal RNA
Rfam family: Archaeal small subunit ribosomal RNA
Source: RNAcentral